GCAUAUACCACACCUACACACUCACACCUACAUUCAUACACCUACAUACACACCCCUGCAUAUACCACACCUACACACUCAUACACCUACACACCUGCACACACACCCCUACACACACCACACACAUCUACACCCACCACCUACACACACCACAUACAUCUAUACCUACACAACCUACACCUACACAUACAAACCUACACUCAUACACCUACACACACACCUACACUCAUACACCUACAUACACACCC
RNAcentral lists this long non-coding RNA (248 nucleotides) under Pan troglodytes (chimpanzee). Its description in RNAcentral is "long non-coding RNA NONPTRT009597". The record is from RNAcentral. Lineage: Eukaryota; Metazoa; Chordata; Mammalia; Primates; Hominidae.